CGCAAACGUUCCCUGGUGCUAUCUUGCAGUUUCAGAAACCACUUGCGCCACAAACCAGGAAAUACCUGGUUUAAAGUCAGUGGCAUGAUUGAUGAGUAUUUGAUCGUGAGAAAACAUUGUUUGACCGCGAGUGAGUGUUAAAAAUAAUGAAUGAAUGCGGACUCGCGUGUGUGUAUGUGUAACACAUGCACACAUACGCGCGUGUGUGCGUCCAUCUGUUUAAACACACGCAAACUAAACACGUAACGCAUAAUACAGUCCAUGGCAAUGUAUAUUAACGGGGGGACACAUGCAUAUUAGGAACACAAGUCGAUAA
Gadus macrocephalus (Pacific cod) is the source of this 316-nucleotide long non-coding RNA. RefSeq lists it as uncharacterized. Lineage: Eukaryota; Metazoa; Chordata; Actinopteri; Gadiformes; Gadidae. The record is from RefSeq and is a predicted model, not a curated record. The transcript has 2 exons.